GGGCCCGCACAAGCGGUGGAGCAUGUGGUUUAAUUCGAUGAUACGCGAGGAACCUUACCAGGGCUUAAAUGGGAGAUGACAGGGGCAGAGACGCCCUUUUCUUCGGACCACUUACAAGGUGCUGCAUGGUUGUCGUCAGCUCGUGCCGUGAGGUGUCAGGUUAAGUCCUAUAACGAGCGCAACCCCUGUUGUUAGUUGCCAGCGUGUAAUGACGGGGACUCUAACGGAACUGCCGGUGCAAACCGUGAGGAAGGUGGGGACGACGUCAAAUCAUCACGGCCCUUACGUCCUGGGCCACACACGUGCUACAAUGGUAGGUACAGAGGGAAGCCACCCCGCGAGGGGGAGCGGAUCUAUAAAACCUAUCUCAGUUCGGAUCGGAGUCUGCAACUCGACUCCGUGAAGCUGGAAUC
Molecule: ribosomal RNA, 413 nt
Filed under: uncultured bacterium
Lineage: Bacteria
Description: bacterial SSU rRNA
Rfam family: Bacterial small subunit ribosomal RNA
Source: RNAcentral